Molecule: long non-coding RNA, 1071 nt
Filed under: Triticum aestivum (bread wheat)
Lineage: Eukaryota; Viridiplantae; Streptophyta; Magnoliopsida; Poales; Poaceae
Description: long non-coding RNA (TAES_LNC028397)
Source: RNAcentral
UUGUGAAGGUAAUAGAACCUCCCCUAAACUAGUUCUUUUUUCUUUUUCCAUUGUUUAUUCUACCUGUUUUUUCUUCUUUUUCUUUUUUAGUUCUUUAUUUAUAUUUUUUGUUAUUUCUUUUCUUUUAUGUUAUCUUUUUCUUUUCUUUUAUGUCCCUGGUGAUGGAGAACAAAUCAACGGUUCAGAGCUAUUCCGAUGGAUUGAUAGGACCAGUCAUCUGAGGUGGAGAGUUUCCAUUGCUAGUUUAGUUUUCCACACAUGUGGUAGAGAAAAAGUCAUGCACAGCAGCACAGGCACGCACGGUCACCGCCGUAGUAACAGACUCAUACUGUGCUACGCACACGUAAAUCCAAUCCAUAUCCAACACCGUGUAACCUUGUUUUGUUUCAAAAAACUCUUAAAAAAAGGGCGUAAACCUAAUCGGAGGCUACCAUGGACACCGUCUUCAAGUGGGAAACCUCAGGUAUGUGGUGAAUAUAUAUACACACGUAUACCCACAACUACUAGCAAUCCCGAGCUCUAGUACAUCGCUGUGUUUGUUUACCUUUUUUUUCUUCUUUGUUUUUUUCUUUCUUCUCCACUUACGCCAUGAUGACUUCCAAUGAGCAGAAAAGCAAUAAGGCGCCGACUCCCGAGCUGCCGGACGAGCUUGUUUCAGAGAUCAUGACCCGACUGCCAGUCAAGUCUCUUAUUCGCUUCAAGUGCGUCAGCAAGGCAUGGCGCACAACCAUAUCCGACCCCUCCUUCGUCCGGUCGCACCUCAAGAUAUCCACCUCCAGAUGGGAGCAGAACCCAUCCUUGCUCAUCACCCCGCACACCCAGGAUCACGACGUCCAACGGUCCAAGGCAACAUUAGGUUCUACCAAUGGCAGCAAGGCGCCUCCGACGCUUCGCUCCUACACGCCUCGGACUUCACCGGCAAGUUUCGUUUGUUUCUCUGCUUCUGCCACUGCGACGCCCUUGUGCUCGUCUCGACGGACACCAAGAUGUACCUCAUCAACCCGGCCACCAGGGGCAUCGUCACGCUUCCAGAGAGCAGCCACUACCUGGUGCCCGCUUCCAUCCACCGCC